UCUCCGUUGGUGAACCAGCGGAGGGAUCAUUACCGAGUGCAAACUCAUAACCCUUUGUGAACCUAUAUCUGUUGCUUCGGCGGCUCGCUCUCGGGCGAGCCCGCCGGUAAUAUCUGUAUCUCUGUUUGAACCCGACGAUACUUCUGAGUGUUCUUAGCGAACAGUUAAAACUUUUAACAACGGAUCUCUUGGCUCUA
This 197-nucleotide unclassified non-coding RNA is filed under the name plant metagenome. Its description in RNAcentral is "partial contains small subunit ribosomal RNA, internal transcribed spacer 1, and 5.8S ribosomal RNA". The record is from RNAcentral.